Small nuclear RNA from Pteronotus mesoamericanus, 105 nucleotides. NCBI's taxonomy places the organism in Eukaryota, Metazoa, Chordata, Mammalia, Chiroptera, Mormoopidae. The record is from RefSeq and is a predicted model, not a curated record.
GCGCUCACUUUGGCAGCACUUAUACUAAAAUUGGAAUGACACAGAAGAUUAGCAUGGCCCCUGUGCAAGGAUGACAUGCAAAUUUGUGGGGGAAAAAAGGUUAAC